CGCUCUGGUGGACUAGUAGUUAGAGCUUCCGCCUUGGAUGCGGGAGGUCAUGUGUUCAAUCCCCAGUUGAGUCA
This is a non-coding RNA of Potamilus streckersoni, 74 nucleotides long. The record is from the annotation of a GenBank genome assembly. Lineage: Eukaryota; Metazoa; Mollusca; Bivalvia; Unionida; Unionidae.